Non-coding RNA from Solenopsis invicta (red fire ant), 46 nucleotides. The record is from Rfam. Lineage: Eukaryota; Metazoa; Arthropoda; Insecta; Hymenoptera; Formicidae.
CAAACGGUUUUUUUCAGAACCACAAAAUUAUUUAACGAUGAAAUAU